RNAcentral lists this ribosomal RNA (718 nucleotides) under Typhula variabilis. RNAcentral describes it as "eukaryotic LSU rRNA". The stretch from base 295 to 448 matches the Rfam family "5.8S ribosomal RNA". Lineage: Eukaryota; Fungi; Basidiomycota; Agaricomycetes; Agaricales; Typhulaceae. The record is from RNAcentral.
UUUCCGUAGGUGAACCUGCGGAAGGAUCAUUAUCGAAUUUAAAGCUUGGUUGAGCUGUCGCUUCGGCGUACGUGCUCGCCUCGCCGUCCAUUCUCAACACCUGUGCACACUCAAGUUCUUUCUGUUCUUCCCAUAGCGCUUUCUAUUGCUUGUCUCUUCAUUGAGGCGGUAAGAAGGAGCGUGAAAGGUGGAAUAAGGAUGAGCUGCCUUUUAACACACCCUUCUUUUAAAAGGUCUAUGAACGUCAAAUGUAGGCUCGCCUUAAAAACGUGAUGCUGAAAUUAAAAAUAAUACAACUUUUAACAACGGAUCUUUUGGCUCUCGCAUCGAUGAAGAACGCAGCGAAAUGCGAUAAGUAAUGUGAAUUGCAGAAUUCAGUGAAUCAUCGAAUCUUUGAACGCACCUUGCGCUCCUUGGUAUUCCGAGGAGCAUGCCUGUUUGAGUGUCAUUAAAUUCUCAACCUCAUAACGUUUUCGAACGGUCCUUGAGGCUUGGACUUUGGAGCGUGUCGGCCUCUUUUUCUAAAGAAGUCGACUCCUCUUUAAAUGCAUUAGCUGGAACCUCUUGUGGACCAGACUACGGUGUGAUAAUUAUCUACGCUGUGGCCUUGUGAAAGCACUUUGUUACGAGGUUCUGCUUCUAACCGUCCCUUACACGGACAAUGAUCUUAAUUGAUUGACAUUUGACCUCAAAUUCAGGAGGACUACCGCUGACUUAA